RNA transcript from Vigna angularis (adzuki bean), 3550 nucleotides. It is a transcript of the gene named toll/interleukin-1 receptor-like protein, with no coding region annotated. The record is from RefSeq and is a predicted model, not a curated record. Lineage: Eukaryota; Viridiplantae; Streptophyta; Magnoliopsida; Fabales; Fabaceae. The transcript is spliced from 5 exons.
ACGUGUAGUAACUUAUGCUUCUGGUCUUCCAUUGGCUUUAAAAGUAAUAGGUUCCAACUUGUAUAGCAAAAGUGUAGAAGAAUGGGAGUCUGCGAUUGAACAUUACAAAAUAAUUCCAAACGGUGAAAUUCUAGAGAUACUUAAAAGUAAGCUAUGUUGCUUUGGGGGAAGAAGAAAAAAGCGUCUUUCUUGACAUCGCCUGUUUCUUUAAUGAAAGUAGUUUGGAAGAAGUUGAAAAGAUACUUGGUGCUCUUUAUGAUAAGAACAUGAAACAUCAUAUUGGGGUGUUGGUGGAUAAAUCUCUCAUAGGUUUUUGGACGGAUAGAGAAGAUUAUAUUGAUAUGCACGACUUGAUUGAGGACAUGGGUAGACAUAUUGAAUGGCAAAAGUCACCCGAAGAGCCAGGGAAGCGCAGGAGAUUAUGGUUAGAGAAAGAUAUCCUUCAUGUUUUAAAACACGACAAGGGUACUAGCAAAACUGAAAUCAUAAUCCUGGAUUUGGAUUUGUCUAUAUAUGAGCGAGAAAAAACGCUAGAAUGGAAUCCCAACGCCUUCAGAAGAAUGAAAAACCUUAAAAUACUUAUCAUUAGAGAUGGUAAAUUUUCCAAAGGUCCCAAUUAUUUUCCAGAAAGUUUGAGAGUACUGGAAUGGCAUGGAUACCCUUCAAAUUCUUUACCAUCAAAUUUUGAUCCGAGCAAUCUUGUGACAUGCAAGCUACCUUACAGUCAUUUUACGUCAUUUGAAUUCCUUGACUCAUCAAAGAAGUUCGAGAAUCUAUCCGUCUUGAGUUUUGACUCGUGCAAAUUUUUGACACAGAUACCAGAUAUGUCUGAUUUCGUAAAUUUGGAGGAAGUUUCAUUUAACAGGCGGAAGAUGUUGGGAAUCCAAGUGUGAGUUUAAGUCCCACAUUGGAGAGAAAUGAGAAAGUAGAGUGGUUUAUAAGUGGGAAGACACAUUAACUCAUUGCCUUAAGGUUUUGGGUGUAGAGUGGUGUCAACUACUUAUAAGGUUGGACUCACAUCUCAUUGCUCAUUGACUUCCCGGUCAAAAACCUCCCCCUUGAUACUCCUAACAGAAGAUUGCAUCAAGCUUACGAAUUUUCCACCUCUCAACUUGCCCACUCUUGAAAGCCUAAAACUUUCGUUUUGUUCCAGUCUUGAGAAAUUUCCAGAAAUACUAGGAAAGAUGGAAAACAUAAAGAGACUUGGAUUGGCGGGUCUUCCCAUUAAAGAAUUGCCACUGUCGUUUCAAAAUCUUAUUGGGACUCGAAGAGUUAUUCUUGUCAUCAUGUGAAAUUGUUCACUUGCCUAACUUGUCUACUUUGAGUGUUACUGAAGAUAACGUAGGCUCAAUGGUUCCUUCAAAGUUAGAGUGUUUUUCAGCACUCUCUUGCAACCUGGAUGAUAACUUCUUUUCGGCAGGUUUCAUGCAGUUGGCACAAGUGCGUUCUUUAAUUCUACGGAACAAUAAUUUCAAACACCUUCCUGAAUGCAUCAAAGAAUUUCACAACCUCAACGAGCUUGAUGUGACUGAUUGCAAACAUCUUGAGGAAAUAAGAGGGUUUCCACCAAAAUUAGAAUAUUUCAAUGCAACAAACUGUAUAUCUUUGACUUCCACCAGCUUAGACAUGUUGCUAAAUAAGGAACUAUACUACGAAGGUAGAAAAAUUAUGUUCCAGUUUCCAGGAGCAAGGUUUCCAGAGUGGUUUGAUCUCAAGAGCAGUGGGCCUUCAUGUUCUUUCUGGUUUCGUAAUAAGUUUCCUGCCAGAGUUCUUUCUCUUCUUAUUAUACAUAUGAAUAAAAAUGAUGAGUUUCUUACCUUUUACCCUCAAGUGUACAUUAAUGGGAAAUAUCAAACAUUGGGAGGCAAAUCUGGGAACGAGCAGACGAAAUUUGAAUUCGAUCUAACAUACCUCUCUGAUCUAAAAAUGUAUGGUAAUUUCCAUGAACAACCUUCAGAAAAGGAAUGGAAUCACGUGAAGGUUACAUAUUAUGCGCAAAAUGUCAAAGCAACAGGAAUCCAUGUAUUCGAGGAAAACAAGGAAGACAUUCGGUUUGAUGAUCCUUAUAUCAUGGAAGACAUCAUGGAAGAAGAACAAAAGGAGGAAGAAAAGGAAGAAGUAGAAGAAGAAGAGGAAGAAAAAAAAGAAAAGGCAGAAGAAGAAGAAAAUAGCAUCAUGGAAGACACCAUGGAAGAAGAAGGAAGAAGAGGAAAAAGAAGAAAACUGCAUUAGGAAUCCUUGUAUUCAAAGAGGAAAACAGCAUCAUGGAAGACAUUCGGUUUGAUGAUCCUUAUACCAACAGCAAAUAAGACAGAUUUUUUUCUUUUUCUUUGUGCUUUUGUUUUUUACUUUAUUUACUAGUAUAGCAAAAGUGUAGAAGAAUGGGUGGGAUAUUUCCAUUUUUAAUAUCUAUAUAUAUAUAUAUAUAUAUAUAUAUAUAGAUAUAUAUAUAUAGCCUAACCAUCAUUUAAUAAUGAUUUCUUUGAUGGUCACAAAUUCAACUUGUUCCAUCUUCAGCUUGAUCAUCUAUCUCGUGAUUUUAGGCAUUUUCAACCUUUCAAGUUUUUAUAUAAAGAGUUGUUUUUCUAAUUUCUAAAUUAUUUAUUAUAAUACCAACAUUAUUAUUAUGAGUAAAAAAAUAUGUAACUAAUACACAUCUUAAAUACACUAAAACUCACAAAGUUAUGCUUUCACUGGUUAUCUCUACAAUGCUCUCUGUGACAGGGACCUUCACACUUUCAUGGAUGAUGAUGAACUUCAAAGAGGAGAGGAAAUCACACCAGCGCUUCUGAAAGCAUCCUUCACUGCCGGAGUAAAGGGCUGUUGAUUAUACCAGUGUUUUAUAAGGUGGAUCCUUCUUAUGUCAGACAUCAUAAAGGUAGCUAUGCAGAAGCAUUGGCUAAGCAUGAAAAGAGGUUCAAAGAGCAGAAGGAGAAGUUACAAAAAUGGAAGAUGGCUCUGCGUGAAGUUGCUGACUUGUCUGACUAUCACUUCGGAGAUGGGUACCCAGCUUACCAAUCUUUUUAUUUGAUUGAAAAUUAGUAUAAGUAUCAAGACAUGGUUUUCUAGUUUAGCUUAGUUAAACUUUAAGGUUUGGAACAGGGAUGAAUACCAGUACAAGUUUAUUGGGAGCAUUGUUGAACGGGUUUCCACGGUGAUUAAUCGUGCUCCUUUACAUGUUGCGGAUUACCCAGUUUGAUUAUAUGUUGCGGUAAAUUGAAUAAUCUGAACAAGUGGAUUUGAUCUUGUUUAGACGUUAGAUAUGUAGUUAUGAUUGGAAAUGGAUCUUAAAAGUAUAAUUAGAAAUAUUGGAAGACUGGUCUGGAUUGAUGAUUUCAGUAAUUUGGGUUCAUGAGUAAAUAUUGGUUGUGAAUGAAUAAAGGGGAAAAACAUAGGUAUGGUUAGAAAGGGUUGGGCAAGGUCUUAUUGGAGUUUUUAUAAACGUGAAUUUAAGUCAUAUGCUCAGACUUUUGUAGUAGUGAAUGAUAUGAACUGCUUGGCAACUUUUCAGAAAUGAUUAAUUAAGUACAUAAGUUGUGAUGUGUGUAAA